Molecule: ribosomal RNA, 404 nt
Filed under: Fusobacteriota bacterium
Lineage: Bacteria; Fusobacteriati; Fusobacteriota
Description: Fusobacteria bacterium partial 16S ribosomal RNA
Rfam family: Bacterial small subunit ribosomal RNA
Source: RNAcentral
UGGGGAAUAUUGCACAAUGGCGGGAACUCUGAUGCAGCGACGCCGCGUGAGUGAUGAAGGACUUCGUUUCGUAAAACUCUGUUCUAUGGGAAGAAAAGGACUGUACCAUAGGAGAAAGCUCCGGCUAAAUACGAGCCAGCAGCCGCGGUAAUACGUAUGGAGCGAGCGUUGUCCGGAAUUAUUGGGCGUAAAGGGUGCGCAGGCGGCUUUACAAGUUGGAAGUGAAAUAUUGUGGCUCAACCACAAACGUGCAUCCAAAACUGCAAAGCUUGAGUUAAGGAGAGGGAAGUGGAAUUCCUGGUGUAACGGUGGAAUGCGUAGAUAUCAGGAGGAAUACCGGUAGCGAAGGCGACGUACUGUACUUAAACUGACUCACAGGCACGAAAGCGUGGGGAGCAAACAGG